Molecule: unclassified non-coding RNA, 2680 nt
Filed under: Aplysia californica (California sea hare)
Lineage: Eukaryota; Metazoa; Mollusca; Gastropoda; Aplysiida; Aplysiidae
Description: bTB/POZ domain-containing protein 10, transcript variant X1
Source: RNAcentral
UUUGGUCACUCAUCGUGAAGAGAAUCUGGCAGUCUUGGAUUAAAGAUGGACGAUUUGUUUUGAAGGAAAGAAGCAGCAGCAGCAAAGAUGCCACUGCGAAUACUGUGGCCAGUCAUUUGUAAAUUUGACUGCUUGUUGGCGUUUGCUUGACGGCAUUUCAAUGGUAAGCCCAUGGCACAUAGGCGAAACCAUAUACCUCGGGACAGAUAUCACAGGGAGUACGAUUCACACAGCAGCGACUCAGAUUAUUCAGAAACCGAUGAACGCAAGAAGACUUGCAUAAAGAAAUCAAGCUCCCUCGGUCCUCCUCGCUCCAAGCCGUGCCUGGUCAACCGCACCCGCUCACAAAGUUUGGACAACACCAGCAGUAACGAAGACUGCCCGUCGUGCGAAGUACGUGCCAGCACCAGCAUGUACUCCAGAACCCGUCCGCACAAUCUAGAUUUACCGCAGCACUUGCUUCAACAGAACGGGCCAGACUAUCCCAUGGAUGGGGCCGCAGCGAUGCAAGCCUCACCGAAGCUGAACUGUAGCAGCCCACGGCCCGUGGAGCGCCUGACCUUGGUGGUGGAUGAGACGAGGUUUGUCGUGGAUCCAGAACUGUUCCGGCAGCGGCCAGAGACAAUGUUGGGAAGAAUGUUCACAACGUCUUUGGAAAACAAUUUUACUCGACCCAAUGAAAGAGGAGAGUUUGAGGUUGCUGAUGGCAUCACAGCCACUGUUUUCCGUGCCAUUUUGGAUUACUACAAGACCGGUGUGGUCCGGUGCCCUCCCUCCGUGCCGGUCCAUGAGCUGAGAGAAGCUUGCGACUACCUCCUUGUGCCCUUUGAUGCCUCCACCGUGAGGUGCCAGAAUCUCCGUGGGUUGCUGCACGAGCUGUCCAACGAAGGCGCUCGCAAACAGUUCCUGGAGUACCUCGAAGACUUGUUGUUGCCUCAGAUGGUCCUCUGUGCUCAGCGAGGUGACCGGGAGUGCCAUAUCGUGGUGCUCACGGAUGAUGAUAUUAUUGACUGGGAUGAGGACUACCCACCACAGAUGGGGGAGGAGUAUUCACAGAUUGUGAACAGUACCUGUCUGUACAGGUUCUUCCGCUACAUUGAGAACCGCGACGUUGCCAAGCAAGUUCUGAAGGAAAGGGGCCUGAAGAAGAUCCGUCUGGGAAUAGAAGGGUACCCGACGUACAAGGAGAAAGUGAAGAAACGGCCUGGCGGUAGAGCUGAAGUGAUCUACAACUACGUCCAGAGGCCUUUCAUCCGCAUGUCCUGGGAGAAGGAAGAGAACAAGAGCAGGCAUGUGGACUUUCAGUGCGUCAAGUCGAAAUCCAUAACGAAUCUGGCUGCUGCCGCUGACGAAGCCUCUUUCCACCAUCACGACCAAGGCAUUUUGCAACAGGCCCAGGAUGGAACCAUCAACGUGAUCCCCCCACAGCCUUCACCCUCGGAGCCUUAUCCCGAUGUCCAACUUCCUCCGGAGGCUCUCGACUAGGCGCACGCCUAGUUGAGGCCGUGUAUUUCCCCGAUGUGUGGGCCUCAGUUCUUGCAAAGAUUUGUUUUGAAGGCUGGGUUUUAUUUUUUUGUUUGUGAGAGCGAGAGAGGAAGUUUUGGGUGGUCACAGAGGCAUGGAAUAGGGCAUACCGUAUGUGUGAGAGGUUCUGCUGGAAUGGAAUAAGGUAUAUAUGUGUGAGAGGUUCUGCUGGAAUGGAAUAAGGUAUAUAUAUAUGUGUGAGAGGUUCUUCUUGAAUGGAAUAAGGUAUAUAUGUGUGAGAGGUUCUUCUUGAAUGGAAUAAGGUAUAUAUGUGUGAGAGGUUCUUCUUGAAUGGAAUAAGGUAUAUAUGUGUGAGAGGUUCUGCUGGAAUGGAAUAAGGUAUAUAUGUGUGAGAGGUUCUGCUUGAAUGGAAUAAGGUAUAUAUAUAUGUGUGUGAGAGAUGGUGCUUGAAUAGAGUAGGGCGUUUGUGGAAGAGGUGCUGCGUGAAUGAUAGGUGAACUGUUGAUGAGGGGAUGGUCAGGGUAUUUGUUGCCUGACGGUAGAUGUUUUCUGUGUGCUGAGUAUUGAACGGUUGUGCGUUAAAAAGUCUGUAGUUUGCUAAUGAGUGCACUCACACUCACUGAGAGUGUUGAGCUGGGAGAUGUUUUCUGUGUGCCUAGUGGUGAACGGCCGUGUGUUACAAGGUCUUUAGUGUGCUAAUGAGUACACACACCCGCUGACAGUGGUGAGGAGGAAGAUAUUUUCAGUGUGCUGAGUUGUGAGCAGUCGUGUGUGAAAAGGAGGUCUGUAGUAGUAGUAUGCUAAUGAGUACACACACACACAGGCUGGUAGUGUUGGGCAUGAAGUAAGUCAGUCUGGGAACACACAUUUUGCCAGAGAUAUAGUGAAGAAAACCUUGUCUGACUCUGAUGUCCAAAGCCUUAUAGAGUUUGGGAGUUAGUUGAGCAAAUCGUUUGUUACAGUUGUUGGAUCAGAUCGUGUUGAAUCGUGUAGGAAAAUAUUUGUGCGUGUGCCUGCGACUGGGUUACUUCUCGUCAACAAGGUCGCUGUGUCCGUGCAGACGUCUCACCUCAGGCAAACCUGCUGCAUUUGCAAUUUUUGUCAAACGAUGAUGUAUUGUGUCCUUUUUUUUUUCUUUUUUGAAAUUGUUGUUGAGCAAAUAAAUCAAUGUGUGAGUUGAGAGAAGCGACUGUGA